Molecule: ribosomal RNA, 270 nt
Filed under: uncultured bacterium
Lineage: Bacteria
Description: partial 16S ribosomal RNA
Rfam family: Bacterial small subunit ribosomal RNA
Source: RNAcentral
AUUGAACGCUGGCGGCAUGCCUUACACAUGCAAGUCGGACGGCAGCGCGGGGGCAACCCUGGCGGCGAGUGGCGAACGGGUGAGUAAGACAUCGGAACGUGUCCUGGAGUGGGGGAUAGCCCGGCGAAAGCCGGAUUAAUACCGCAUACGAUCUGAGGAUGAAAGCGGGGGACCGGAAGGCCUCGCGCUCAAGGAGCGGCCGAUGGCGGAUUAGCUAGUUGGUGGGGUAAAGGCCCACCAAGGCGACGAUCCGUAGCUGGUCUGAGAGGA